AUUGAACGCUGGCGGCAGGCCUAACACAUGCAAGUCGAACGAGUGGCGGACGUGUGAGUAAUGUCUGGGCAACUGCCCGAUGGCGGGGGAUAACUACUUGAAACGGUAGCUAAUCCCGCAUACCUUCGGAUGUGCCCAGAUGGGAUUAGCGAGUAGGUGGGGUAACGGCUCACAUAGGCGACGCGCCCUAGCUGGUCUGAGAGGAGGACCAGACACAAUGGAAAUGAGACACGGUACAGACUCAUACGGGAGGAAGCAGGGGGGAAUAUUGCACAAUGGGCGCAAGCCUGAUGCAGACAUGCCGAGUGAAUGAAGAAGGCCUUCGGAUUGUAAAGUACUUGCAGCGAGGAGGCGUUACUCGCAGAAGAAGCACCGGCUAACUCCGUGCCAGCCGCCGCGGUAAUAC
Molecule: ribosomal RNA, 406 nt
Filed under: uncultured bacterium
Lineage: Bacteria
Description: partial 16S ribosomal RNA
Rfam family: Bacterial small subunit ribosomal RNA
Source: RNAcentral